UACGUAGGUGACCAGCGUUGUCCGGAUUUACUGGGCGUAAAGAGCGCGCAGGCGGUCGUUCAAGUCGAGUGUGAAAGCCCCCGGCUCAACUGGGGAGGGUCACUCGAUACUGAUCGACUUGAAGGCAGGAGAGGGAAGCGGAAUUCCCGGUGUAGUGGUGAAAUGCGUAGAUAUCGGGAGGAAUACCAGUGGCGAAGGCGGCUGCCUGGCCUGUUCUUGACGCUGAGGCGCGAAAGCUGGGGGAGCAAACGGG
Molecule: ribosomal RNA, 253 nt
Filed under: uncultured bacterium
Lineage: Bacteria
Description: partial 16S ribosomal RNA
Rfam family: Bacterial small subunit ribosomal RNA
Source: RNAcentral